This 241-nucleotide ribosomal RNA is filed under the name uncultured bacterium. RNAcentral's name for it is "partial 16S ribosomal RNA". It matches the Rfam family "Bacterial small subunit ribosomal RNA", at positions 92 to 334 of the family's 1533-position model. The record is from RNAcentral.
CGACCGGCGCACGGGUGCGUAACGCGUAUGCAACCUACCUUUAACAGGGGGAUAACACUGAGAAAUUGGUACUAAUACCCCAUAAUAUCAUAGAAGGCAUCUUUUAUGGUUGAAAAUUCCGAUGGUUAGAGAUGGGCAUGCGUUGUAUUAGCUAGUUGGUGGGGUAACGGCUCACCAAGGCGACGAUACAUAGGGGGACUGAGAGGUUAACCCCCCACACUGGUACUGAGACACGGCCCAG